RNAcentral lists this unclassified non-coding RNA (324 nucleotides) under Hevea brasiliensis (rubber tree). Lineage: Eukaryota; Viridiplantae; Streptophyta; Magnoliopsida; Malpighiales; Euphorbiaceae. The record is from RNAcentral.
UAUUAUUAAGUUUUAAAGGAACCAACUUGUAGCUUUUGGACGGUAGUAGAAUUGGAGCUCAGCUGGUUUCUGCUUCUACUUCUGCUUCGCUUCUUUUGUCAGUGUUUGGGUUCUCUGUAAAAGGAAAUGGAGGGUUUACUACUACCUCCCUCCUUGCACUCCUGCUUGCAGAUAAUAAAUAUUUACAGUUUACUCUUUUUUGCAAUUUUCUUGUUUUGUAUAUUAUUGAUUAUUAAUGUUUUUAUUAUUUGCUACCUUCGAUUAAUGCUUAUGGGAUGGUGUUAAACAUUCCAUGUGCCUUAGAAUUAUGCUGAAGGCUAUUUG